Long non-coding RNA from Folsomia candida, 1123 nucleotides. RefSeq lists it as uncharacterized. The record is from RefSeq and is a predicted model, not a curated record. The transcript has 2 exons. Lineage: Eukaryota; Metazoa; Arthropoda; Collembola; Entomobryomorpha; Isotomidae.
CUUUGUGGUUAAUGAAGAGAUGUGUUAAUUCGUUUAGUAUCCAACUUGCUGUCCUGUUUAGCCACCUUUUACAUAUUUUGUAUGUACCUACUCUUUUUAAACAUUCUAUUAUCUUACCAUUGUAUAAGGGCAAGGGACCGCGUAAUGUGCCCAAGAAUUACAGACCGAUUGUUAUCCUUAAUUCCUACUGUAAAUUAUUUGAGAGGUACCUAUAUCAUAGGAUAAAAGAUAGAAUAGAUGCUAAAUUAAUAGAUGAACAGCAUGCCUAUCGUAGCAACAAAUCGUGUCACUCUGCGAUUAGUGCUUUCACCACUUUCACCUACUCUGAACUUGACAAGAAGAACGGUAUUGUGGGAGCAGUUUUCAUUGAUCUUAAGGAUGCUUUCUCUAGUAUUUCACAUGACAAACUGGUUCGAAAAUUGUUAUCCAAUUUUAAAUUAAGCAAACGACUACACUCUUAGAAAAUGCAAUAUCUUUUCAUGAAGUAAAAUGGAACGUUAUGCGCUUUAAAGUAAACCUCACUUGAUUCGAAGUAAAAUGGUCAACUUCAUUCAAAGUAAUCACAAAAGUCACCAAAUGUGGAGUAAAACCACUAUUUUCUAAUCCACAAAGUAAGCUAUUAUACCAUUUAGAGUAAGCAAACCCCAUUUAGAAUAUUCUUGGUCAAACCAGACGCUGACUUUUCCCUCGCUCUCAUUACAACUCGCAGCUCAGCCAGUCAGUGCUGAUAGUUAAGUUGAUAAUUAAUUAAUUAGUUAGUUAACUCAUAAGCAAAUAAUGGAGGAAACGAGGGGGUUAUUGCAACAAUUUGGACGGGGACGCUGAAGGAUGACGAUAUUACGGACGAGACUCUGUUAAUAAUUUCAGGAGAAAAUUGUCAGGUUUUCUAGGUCAUUUUAGGUCGCCUUUGGAAUGCAUUGUACAAUUUGUGAGAACUUAGCUGGUAUAUCUUUGUUUUAAGUGCAAAACUAAUAUUAAAACUUUAGUAUAACAUUAAAAAAAUUAUCUUAAGUUAACAGGGUCCAGCGUUUACAAACAUCCUCACUAGUGGUUCAUAAUAAGGGUAAUUUGUAAUGCAAUGUUGAAUGUGAAAUAAAAUAUAUUAUUAAAGUACUAAAUACUG